Molecule: ribosomal RNA, 458 nt
Filed under: Granulicatella adiacens
Lineage: Bacteria; Bacillati; Bacillota; Bacilli; Lactobacillales; Carnobacteriaceae
Description: bacterial SSU rRNA
Rfam family: Bacterial small subunit ribosomal RNA
Source: RNAcentral
GACGAACGCUGGCGGCGUGCCUAAUACAUGCAAGUCGAACGAGAGCGACCGGUGCUUGCACUGGUCAAUCUAGUGGCGAACGGGUGAGUAACACGUGGGUAACCUGCCCAUCAGAGGGGGAUAACAUCCGGAAACGGAUGCUAAAACCGCAUAGGUCUUCGAACCGCAUGGUUUGAAGAGGAAAAGAGGCGCAAGCUUCUGCUGAUGGAUGGACCCGCGGUGCAUUAGCUAGUUGGUGAGGUAACGGCUCACCAAGGCCGUGAUGCAUAGCCGACCUGAGAGGGUGAUCGGCCACAUUGGGACUGAGACACGGCCCAAACUCCUACGGGAGGCAGCAGUAGGGAAUCUUCCGCAAUGGACGCAAGUCUGACGGAGCAACGCCGCGUGAGUGAAGAAGGUUUUCGGAUCGUAAAACUCUGUUGUUAGAGAAGAACAAGUGCUAGAGUAACUGUUAGCGC